Molecule: ribosomal RNA, 253 nt
Filed under: uncultured bacterium
Lineage: Bacteria
Description: partial 16S ribosomal RNA
Rfam family: Bacterial small subunit ribosomal RNA
Source: RNAcentral
UACAGGGGGUGCGAGCGUUACUCGGAAUUACUGGGCGUAAAGCGCGCGUAGACGGUUAUGUAAGUCAGGUGUGAAAGCCCCGGGCUCAACCUGGGAAUUGCAUUUGAGACUGCAUAGCUAGGGUGCGGAAGAGGGAAGCGGAAUUUCCGGUGUAGCGGUGAAAUGCGUAGAUAUCGGAAGGAACAUCAGUGGCGAAAGCGGCUUCCUGGUCAAGCACCGACGGUCAGGCACGAAAGCGUGGGGAGCAAACAGG